GGGGGCGUCGGCGAAUCCGGUCCAGCCACCAGCUUCAAAACCUGGGGAUCGAAAGAUCAUUGUGGGUUCGAAUCCCACCGCCCCUA
RNAcentral lists this transfer RNA (86 nucleotides) under Myxococcales bacterium. RNAcentral describes it as "tRNA-Leu". It matches the Rfam family "tRNA". Rfam says of the family: Transfer RNA (tRNA) molecules are approximately 80 nucleotides in length. Their secondary structure includes four short double-helical elements and three loops (D, anti-codon, and T loops). Further hydrogen bonds mediate the characteristic L-shaped molecular structure. tRNAs have two regions of fundamental functional importance: the anti-codon, which is responsible for specific mRNA codon recognition, and the 3' end, to which the tRNAs corresponding amino acid is attached (by aminoacyl-tRNA synthetases). tRNAs cope with the degeneracy of the genetic code in two manners: having more than one tRNA (with a specific anti-codon) for a particular amino acid; and 'wobble' base-pairing, i.e. permitting non-standard base-pairing at the 3rd anti-codon position. The record is from RNAcentral. Lineage: Bacteria; Pseudomonadati; Myxococcota; Myxococcia; Myxococcales.